Molecule: long non-coding RNA, 1946 nt
Filed under: Sorghum bicolor (sorghum)
Lineage: Eukaryota; Viridiplantae; Streptophyta; Magnoliopsida; Poales; Poaceae
Description: long non-coding RNA (SBIC_LNC001116)
Source: RNAcentral
CAUUACUUAUAGUGAUACGAGAGUGUCAAAGUUAGAGCAUGAUUCCACCGCUGUGAAUGAGAAGGUGGAGGCUUUAGAGCACCCUAAGAAGUAGGGUUGAUUUGUCUUAGCAUCCGAUAGGGCGAGUGUGAGUUUUAUUAAAAGUUUGUUUAAUUUCUAAAGUUUGCUAUUGUAAUAAUAAGCCCUGCAUGAAGAUGAACUAAAUGAUUAUUGUAUGUCUUUUCUCUCUUUUGUCUCUCUUUUGUCUCCACCAUGUUGUGAAUGAAGGAUAAUAGGAAACCAGUGUGGGGGAGGCACCCAACGAUCGAAAUGAACGAAUUCUCACGAAAACGAUAACAAUAUUGGAGAAGGCAUGACACGAAGACCAUGCUCGACGAGGUUGACCCCAAAGGGCCACUAGCUAGGGGCGGCCGCUCCAUUCUGCUUGGGCUCCUACGCAAGGGGUGGAGCCCCUUGGUCUUCGCUUCGAGCCACGGUUAGGUAUGAUUUCUCUAUGUCAUAAAUUGUUAGUAUUGUUGCUAUUUUGAUUUGGAAGUUAAAUCACCCUAUGCAUAAAUAUUUAAAAGAUGUUCUAUUCAUGACCACAAGAUAGACCCACACCAUGAUAAUUCCUAGAAAUUCCUGUUGUUGUUGUGAACUUUAAUAUAGGAACCGCAUAUUACUUAAGUUGUGGUGGAAAGAGAGAUAGUAUAAAUAUGAGAACUUGAUUUCUGAUGUCUAGUCAUUUGGAGAAUUUACAUUUCAAAAAUCUUAAAAUUAUUAGCUAUACUUCUCCUCUGUAGCAAGAAUUAAUAUCCUACUAGAGCCAUGCAUGAUAGAUAUAAAAUAGCUCAUAAGCUACUUGCUUUGUAUUGAGUUCUGUCAAACCUUAUUGACCUAUGUCGAGAGGAUUAUCAUGCUCUUAAUCUCAAGAUCACGUACACCCACAUAUAUCUCCCAUUCCUACAUUGGGAAUGUGCAUAAACAUGCCUUUCCAUCCAUUAAAAAUGUUUUACUCCUACACUGGGAGGAAACACAAAAAGAAUCUUGGCCGGAAUAAUUGCUCUAAGUUCUUUAAAAAGUCUUUCUCAAUAUUUCUUGGUUACAGAAGGGAGGUAUGUGGCUAUGCAAUAUAAAAGUAUUGAAAAAAGAAAAAGAAAAAGGACAAGUGUCCUAGAAAGAAAGAAGAAUAAAAGAUAGCCCAUACCAUCCUAUACAAGGACCAUCAGUGCUUUAGAGAAAGAAUGACAUUUUGAAAAGAGCAAUGUAGAAUUAGGAUUAGCCACUAUAUAUUCCACACACAUGAACUUCUUGAUCUAAGAGUAUGCUAUUCCCCACCAUGGAUCUGAGUUUUGACUUAGCAAAAAUAUGCAAGGUAAGUAUGCUAUUUCCUUGAAUUACCUUUAACUCCAUAUAAGCCUAUAUAGAGUAGGAUACAUAUGAUGCAUAUAUGCUUUGGUGAGUUCCACAAAUAACACCUAUGAUGAGUGAUUCGAGUGUGCUGCAUGAUGAAGGGUAAGCUAGGUUUUUCUUUGCAAAAAUACUAUAAAACUCCAAGUGACAGAGCUAAAGGGAAAGAGAACUCUAUUUUGUACUGUUCCAUCCUCAACUUCCCAAACAUUUUAUGGUAGACACUUUGAAUCCCGCAGUACAGGUAUGACUUGGAAUAAAUUUGGUGAUGUCUUGGUUUGAGGUUAUGUUUAAAAUAAUCUACCCUUUUUCCUCGAGGACGAGUAAAAGAUAAGUGUGGGGGAGUUGGUUGAUGGUAUUUGCAAGCACUUAGUAGAUAUGGACCUAUUUGCAAGCUCUCAGUAGAUAUAGGGUUAUCGCUAAUAGAAUUCCAUGAGUUUUGGUCAUUGUCUAUUUCCGUAGAGGGUUACCGAAAAAAUAACAAAAGAAGGUCCACAUGUCAGAUUUACAUAGAGAGAAGACCCAUGUGUCAACUCAGAAACAAUCUAGAAGACUCG